UACGGAGGGGGCGAGCGUUGUUCGGAAUCAUUGGGCGUAAAGCGUAUGUAGGUGGCCGGAUAAGUCAGACGUGUAAGCCCGCGGCUCAACCGCGGAAUUGCGUUUGAAACUAUUCGGCUUGAGUGCAGAAGAGGAAAGCGGAAUUUCCAGUGUAGCGGUGAAAUGCGUUGAUAUUGGGAAGAACACCAGUGGCGAAGGCGGCUUUCUGGUCUGCAACUGACACUGAGAUACGAAAGCCAGGGGAGCGAACGGG
This 253-nucleotide unclassified non-coding RNA is filed under the name uncultured Nitrospinota bacterium. RNAcentral's name for it is "uncultured Nitrospinae bacterium contains 16S-23S intergenic spacer region". It matches the Rfam family "Bacterial small subunit ribosomal RNA", at positions 524 to 776 of the family's 1533-position model. Lineage: Bacteria; Pseudomonadati; Nitrospinota. The record is from RNAcentral.